CUUCCCAAUAACACCGCCGAUGCGCGAGGCGUGACAGAGGAGGCGGAAGGAGACGUGACCCGGAGGGACCGGCAAGGGAGGUGGAGGGGGUUUGGAUCGCUUAUUGGAAGAUCCAUGGACGAAAGAGGGGUCGGGCAUAGUAGUGUACUGUAUAGGGCGUUUCGAUGGAGGAGAGAGGAAGGUACUGCCCAUAAUCUCCGGAGAAGAAAUUCAGAGCAAAAUGGUUGGAUUUAUAGAUAUAUAUGCGUGUGAAGGUGUUUUACUUUGUUUUCUCUGCCUGGAAGGGGGCGGCGUUUCGCAGCGGAAGAGCCGAAGAGAGAGAGACGGGGGAUGGGAAGAGGAGGACGAGAAAGAUUCGGGCGGCGAAGGUGCUAAAGUGCGCCAGGGGUGCGUAAGUGUGGGUGUGAGUUGCGACUUGGGUUAAGUUCUUUAUCGGCUUGCUUUUGUGCACGCGAGGAAUACGCCGC
Molecule: unclassified non-coding RNA, 467 nt
Filed under: Hevea brasiliensis (rubber tree)
Lineage: Eukaryota; Viridiplantae; Streptophyta; Magnoliopsida; Malpighiales; Euphorbiaceae
Source: RNAcentral